GUCCGCCGCAAGGGCCGCCGGCCUCCGCCGCUUCUCCACCAUCUCCGCCUUCAAUCCCCCACCUCCCGCCGCUGCAAUACCGGAGGCGGAGCCGAGCAACAACCUCUUCGUCUCAGGGCUCAGUAAGCGGACGACGACCGAGGGACUCAGGGAUGCUUUUGCACAGUUCGGUGAAGUUGUACAUGCUAGAGUGAUAACUGAUAGAAUGUCUGGCUAUUCCAAGGGAUUUGGAUUUGUGAAAUAUGCUACGCUGGAGGAAGCUGCCGCGGGCAAACAAGGCAUGGAUGGCAAAUUUCUGGAUGGCUGGGUUAUAUUUGCCGAGUAUGCCAGACCCAGACCACCUCCAUCGGAGCAGCAGCAGCAACAGCAAUCAGCCGGGGGCUAUCAGUACUAGUGCUCGGGAACACAAGCAUUAUGGGUCCGAAGUUUGAUUCGAUUCUAUAACCUGG
RNAcentral lists this unclassified non-coding RNA (449 nucleotides) under Hevea brasiliensis (rubber tree). Lineage: Eukaryota; Viridiplantae; Streptophyta; Magnoliopsida; Malpighiales; Euphorbiaceae. The record is from RNAcentral.